Molecule: non-coding RNA, 399 nt
Organism: Ceratotherium simum simum (southern white rhinoceros)
Lineage: Eukaryota; Metazoa; Chordata; Mammalia; Perissodactyla; Rhinocerotidae
Source: the annotation of a RefSeq genome assembly
AUGAGGAGCCAACAGAACAGAGUGGAGCAGAGUCCUGGAUCUCGGAGUGUUCCAGAGGGAGCCACUGCCUCUCUCAACUGCACUUAUAGUGACAGUGCUUCCAACUACUUCACAUGGUAUAGACAGUAUUCUGGGAAAGGUCCUGAGUUGCUGGUGUACAUAUACUCCAAUGGUGAGAAGGAUGAAGGAAGAUUUACAGCGCAGCACAAUAAAGUCAGCCAGUAUGUCUCUCUGCUCAUCAGAGAUUCCCAGCCCAGCGACUCAGCCACCUACCUCUGUGCAGUGAGCACACAGUGCUCCCCCAGCACCUGCAGUCUGUACCCAAACAUGCUGGGGCCCCACAAAUGUCUGAUACAGAGGUUAGGCUGCAAGGCAGAGAAAAUUCUGUUAGCUGUCUAG